Molecule: non-coding RNA, 111 nt
Organism: Podospora aff. communis PSN243
Lineage: Eukaryota; Fungi; Ascomycota; Sordariomycetes; Sordariales; Podosporaceae
Source: the annotation of a GenBank genome assembly
GGGCAGGUAGUAGCACAGUGGUCAGCGCGUUCACUAAACUCCCCCCAGCGUUGAUUUUCAGGGCCGAGCAUUGUUCGACGAGAGGCUUGGGUUCGGAUCCCAGCCUGCCCA